Molecule: ribosomal RNA, 415 nt
Filed under: uncultured crenarchaeote
Lineage: Archaea; Thermoproteati; Thermoproteota
Description: partial 16S ribosomal RNA
Rfam family: Archaeal small subunit ribosomal RNA
Source: RNAcentral
GUGCAGCAGUCGCGAAAACUCUGCAAUACGCGAAAGCGUGACAGGGCUACCCCGAGUGUCGUCCGCUGAGGACGACUUUUCCACGCUGUAAGGAGGCGUGGGAAUAAGGAGAGGGCAAGUCUGGUGUCAGCCGCCGCGGUAAUACCAGCUCUCCGAGUGGUAGGGACGAUUAUUGGGCUUAAAGCGUCCGUAGCCGGCUCAGCAAGUCUCCCGUUAAAUCCAACGAUUCAAUCGUUGGACUGCGGGAGAUACUGUUGAGCUAGGAGGCGGGAGAGGCCGACGGUAUUUCCGGGGUAGGGGUAAAAUCCUAUAAUCCCGGGAAGACCACCAGUGGCGAAGGCGGGUAGCCAGAACGCGCUCGACGGUGAGGGGCGAAAGCUGGGGGAGCGAACCGGAUUAGAUACCCCUGUAGUCC